GACGAACGCUGGUGGCGUGCCUAAUACAUGCAAGUCGAGCGGACCAAUAGAAGCUUGCUUCUGUUGGUUAACGGCGGACGGGUGAGUAACACGUGGGCAACCUGCCUGUAAGACUGGGAUAACUUCGGGAAACCGGAGCUAAUACCGGAUAAUUCAUCCCCUCGCAUGAGGGGAUGCUGAAAGUCGGUUUACGCUGACACUUACAGAUGGGCCCGCGGCGGAUUAGCUAGUUGGUGAUGUAAUGGCUCACCAAGGCGACGAUGUGUAGCCGACCUGAGAGGGUGAUCGGCCACACUGGGACAGAGACACGGCCCAGACUCCUACGGGAGGCAGCAGUAGGGAAUCUUCCACAAUGGACGAAAGUCUGAUGGAGCAACGCCGCGUGAGCGAUGAAGGCCUUCGGGUCGUAAAGCUCUGUUGUUAGGGAAGAACAAGUAUCGGAGUAACUGCCGGUACCUUGACGGUACCUAACCAGAAAGCCACGGCUAACUACGUGCCAGCAGCAGCCGCAG
This 512-nucleotide ribosomal RNA is filed under the name uncultured bacterium. RNAcentral's name for it is "partial 16S ribosomal RNA". It matches the Rfam family "Bacterial small subunit ribosomal RNA", at positions 28 to 523 of the family's 1533-position model. The record is from RNAcentral.